Long non-coding RNA from Tyto alba (common barn owl), 636 nucleotides. RefSeq lists it as uncharacterized. The transcript is spliced from 4 exons. The record is from RefSeq and is a predicted model, not a curated record. NCBI's taxonomy places the organism in Eukaryota, Metazoa, Chordata, Aves, Strigiformes, Tytonidae.
CUUCUGCUGAGUCUGUUUCCUACUUCUGUGAGGUCAGUGCUGACAUCAGUGAAACCACUAGAGAAAUAAGGCAUUUGCUGCUUCUGCUUUCCAUUCCAAAAGGAGCAACCUCCUCCUGCAUCCUCAUUAAUGCAGUGACUCAAAAUCCAGUGAAGUUUGAAGUCAGAACUUAACUUGGUUUUCUUUAAUUACAGGAUUUCUCCCACUUCUGACUCCAAGACCGUAUGCUGGAUUUGGCAAACAUCUCAUCAGCUUUAAGUGAAACAUAGUAGGUUCCACAAGUGAUCAUUUCCAAGACCUCCGGAAGGUGGUGCUUCCAGCUCUGUGUAUGUGAGCUGCAGAGACAUUUACUUUUGUAUAUGCAGUGACAGGAAAUGGGAUGAACCAGCUCACAUCUGUUAGCCAUUAAACAGCGAAAUAAUAACAACAAUAAUAAAAUAUUAUUUUAGCCAGGCUGACAAGAACAGACAUCAGCCAUAGAAAGCUGAAGGUGAGUCAAAAGAGGGCCUGCAUCCAGCUGAUUUCUUCAAAGGCAAAAUACUAUGUACUCUUUCCUGGUUUUGAGUUCUGCAAAUACCGCCUUCUUGGAUCAUCAUGACAUGCCAUCAGAAUGAGUGGGUUUGAGGAUUUCCUGUA